GAGUUUGAUCGUGGCUCAGGACGAACGCUGGCGGCGCGCCUAACACAUGCAAGUCGAACGGAGUUGUUUUGGAGAAGCCCUUCGGGGCGGAACUGAUUCAACUUAGUGGCGGACGGGUGAGUAACACGUGAGCAACCUGCCUUACAGAGGGGAAUAACGUUUGGAAACGAACGCUAAUACCGCAUAACAUAACGGAAUCGCAUGGUUUUGUUAUCAAAGAUUAUAUCGCUGUAAGAUGGGCUCGCGUCUGAUUAGAUAGUUGGUGAGGUAAUGGCUCACCAAGUCGACGAUCAGUAGCCGGACUGAGAGGUUGAACGGCCACAUUGGGACUGAGACACGGCCCAGACUCCUACGGGAGGCAGCAGUGGGGAAUAUUGCACAAUGGGGGAAACCCUGAUGCAGCGACGCCGCGUGAAGGAAGAAGGCCUU
This 429-nucleotide ribosomal RNA is filed under the name uncultured bacterium. RNAcentral's name for it is "bacterial SSU rRNA". It matches the Rfam family "Bacterial small subunit ribosomal RNA", at positions 9 to 418 of the family's 1533-position model. The record is from RNAcentral.